This 497-nucleotide ribosomal RNA is filed under the name uncultured bacterium. RNAcentral describes it as "partial 16S ribosomal RNA". It matches the Rfam family "Bacterial small subunit ribosomal RNA", at positions 28 to 507 of the family's 1533-position model. The record is from RNAcentral.
GAUGAACGCUGGCGGCGUGCCUAAUACAUGCAAGUCGAGCGAACGGACGAGAAGCUUGCUUCUCUGAUGUUAGCGGCGGACGGGUGAGUAACACGUGGAUAACCUACCUAUAAGACUGGGAUAACUUCGGGAAACCGGAGCUAAUACCGGAUAAUAUUUUGAACUGCAUGGUUCCAAAGUGAAAGACGGUCUUGCUGUCACUUAUAGAUUGAUCCGCGCUGCAUUAGCUAGUUGGUAAGGUAACGGCUUACCAAGGCAACGAUGCAUAGCCGACCUGAGAGGGUGAUCGGCCACACUGUAACUGAGACACGGUCCAGACUCCUACGGGAGGAAGCAGUAGGGAAUCUUCCGCAAUGGGCGAAAGCCUGACGGAGCAACGCCGCGUGAGUGAUGAAGGUCUUCGGAUCGUAAAACUCUGUUAUUAGGGAAGAACAUAUGUGUAAGUAACUGUGCACAUCUUGACGGUACCUAAUCAGAAAGCCACGGCUAACUACGUG